RNAcentral lists this ribosomal RNA (253 nucleotides) under uncultured bacterium. RNAcentral describes it as "partial 16S ribosomal RNA". It matches the Rfam family "Bacterial small subunit ribosomal RNA", at positions 524 to 776 of the family's 1533-position model. The record is from RNAcentral.
GACGAAGGUGGCAAGCGUUGUUCGGAUUCACUGGGCAUAAAGGGCGCGUAGGCUGUUCCGCAAGCGGCGUGUGAAAUCCCCCGGCUCAACCGGGGAAGUGCGCGCCGAACUGCGGUUCUCGAGGGCGGGAGGGGGGACUGGAACUCUCGGUGGAGCGGUGAAAUGCGUAGAUAUCGAGAGGAACACCGGUGGCGAAGGCGAGUCCCUGGUCCGCUUCUGACGCUGAGGCGCGAAAGCGUGGGUAGCAAACAGG